CUCAAAUGUGACCAAGCAGCUACAAAGCACUCGUUCUAAUGCGUUAUCGUUUCUAUGGUAACACAUUCUAUAGAAACACAUAAUCCAAGACUAAUACUAAACGUUGUGGGUGUUUUUUUUUUUUUGUUUUUUUUUUUAAAUAAAUGUGGUGUUAUUUGACAAAAACGUCUAAUCACUGAUAUUGUGAAGCCUUCAAUAAGGAGUCUCGGGUGACGGUGCUUUGUGAUGGUCAGUCAUUUUCCCAACAUGGGAGAGUCUGUACUGUACUUUCCGUUUGUUUUUUUUGUUUUUUUGGUCAUAUUAGAGACAAAUAUGAAUGAUAACAGACACUAACUUGUCUUAUGGAAAUUCCACAGUAUUAAAAGUAGCUAUAAACAGAUAAAAAGCAAAUUUAGUAUAAGAGGAAUAAAACAUCUUGGAACAUGCUGUUCAAUUCUAAAAACCUGCCGUGUUUUAUUCCUUACCGAUCCAAGCUUCUCCGAAACUAGAGAAAUGGCUCCUGGGAAGUACAAGCCUCUGAGUGCAUCAUGGAGGAUUUUACUAAGCCAACCUGGAAUUCAGACAUUUUCGAAUUGUUCCAGUGAAGCGAUGAUCCUACGUAGACAACUGAGAUGUUUAAAAUGGCUACCGUUCUAAAACCAUACUAAAAUUCAAAAACAAUACUAUAUAACUGCGGGGGAGACGCAGCAAAUCACUGAAAUGUCAACUCGAUCUGGAGGACACAGUGUAAUGUGAUACAAUAACAAAACAGCUUCAUUUGUAUUCUCAUACACUUGUGAUGUAAUAAAAG
This is a long non-coding RNA of Ictalurus punctatus (channel catfish), 790 nucleotides long. NCBI's taxonomy places the organism in Eukaryota, Metazoa, Chordata, Actinopteri, Siluriformes, Ictaluridae. The record is from Ensembl.